GAAGGUCUGAAGGUUGGCUGAGAUGAUUCUGCUUUAGUUUCAGGUUUGCAAGUCAGCUGGGGCAGCUUGGAUCAAUCUGGCUCAUUUGGAGCCCUGGUUACCCAGCAUAUGCUCUUCUCAUGGCAAUGUCAGGAACACAAGAGAAAGAAGCCAACUAAACAAGCAUGUCUGAAGCCUUUGCUCAUCUCAUAUCUGCCAAUGUUCUAUCAAUAAAAUCAAGUCAACAGUCAAGCCAAAGUCAAGGAGAAUAUACCUGGCAGGCAUCUGGCUAUGGUCAAUUUGAAAAUAGAAGGCUUGGCAAGGUGGCUCACAACUGUAUUCUUCUUAGCACUUUGGGAGGCUGAAGUGGGAGGAUCAUUUGAGCCCAGGAGUUUGAGAUCAUCCUGGACAACACAGUGAGACUCCAUCUCUACAAGAUAAAUAUAUAAAUAAAUAAAUAAAUAAAUAAAUAAAUAAGACUGGUGCAGUGGCACAUGCCAGUAGUCCCAGCUACUUGGGAAGCUGAGGUGAAAGGAUCGCUUGAGCCCAGGAGGUCGAAGCUGCGGUUGUGAUCAUACCACUGCACUCCAGCCUGAGCAACAAAGACAAGGUAAGAUCCCCCCACUUUUU
RNAcentral lists this long non-coding RNA (609 nucleotides) under Pan paniscus (pygmy chimpanzee). Its description in RNAcentral is "lncRNA (ENSPPAG00000044637.1)". Lineage: Eukaryota; Metazoa; Chordata; Mammalia; Primates; Hominidae. The record is from RNAcentral.